Pelobates cultripes (western spadefoot toad) is the source of this 232-nucleotide non-coding RNA. The record is from the annotation of a GenBank genome assembly. Lineage: Eukaryota; Metazoa; Chordata; Amphibia; Anura; Pelobatidae.
UCUAGCUUAUGGUCUCCCCUCAUUAUUUUUAGGAUGAGGGGGGUAGGUAGGGGUUAUUUUUUGGGGGAGGGGGGUGACGGGAGGGUUACAUUUUUAUUUAGGGCCUCCACCCACUGUGCAGUGGUGCGGUCCGGGGGGGCAGGACAAUAGGUCCCCCCCUUAUUCUAAAUUUAGGGCCCCUACCCGCCGCUCAGUUGUGGGGGCAGGGGGGGAGGACAGUAGGUUCCUCCCC